GACGGAGGGUGCAAGCGUUGUUCGGAAUCACUGGGCGUAAAGCGGGUGUAGGCGGCUCAGUAAGUCGAAUGUGAAAUCCCGCGGCUCAACCGCGGAAGUGCAUUCGAAACUGUUGUGCUUGAGUACGGGAGAGGGGAGUGGAAUUCCUGGUGUAGAGGUGAAAUUCGUAGAUAUCAGGAGGAACACCGGUGGCGAAGGCGGCUCCCUGGACCGAUACUGACGCUGAGACCCGAAGGCGUGGGGAGCAAACAGG
This 253-nucleotide ribosomal RNA is filed under the name uncultured bacterium. RNAcentral describes it as "partial 16S ribosomal RNA". It matches the Rfam family "Bacterial small subunit ribosomal RNA", at positions 524 to 776 of the family's 1533-position model. The record is from RNAcentral.